Molecule: non-coding RNA, 95 nt
Organism: Acanthosepion pharaonis
Lineage: Eukaryota; Metazoa; Mollusca; Cephalopoda; Sepiida; Sepiidae
Source: the annotation of a GenBank genome assembly
AAAACACUGCUCCUCGUUCUAUCACCGAAGUUAAGUAUCGUUGUGCGCGGUUAGUAUUUAGAUGGGUGACUGCUUGAGAAUACCAGAUACCGUAA